GGAGAGUGCGGUUUUCGUAGGGAGCCUUCAGUGCAGAUCGAGAGAUAUCUGCAGGCUGUGAUUGGAGGAUAUUCUCUUUUCACAUGCCUGAUGUUGACUGGGGAGGUAUAUGUGCACUCAUGCAGAAGAAGUAGGAGUUUCGACAUCGAAUUUAGCAUUUGGAGAAGCUGAUCCGAAGUCCGGUGUUGGCAGUGUGUGAUCGACAACCCUUGUUUUGCCUCGCUGCGCUUUAUUACCUUGUAGAAGUUGUGGAACUUGGACAUGUAGGUACAGUUCUACUACACCAAAUCAGUACCAGUUUGGAGAGUGCGGU
This is a long non-coding RNA of Haliotis rufescens (red abalone), 313 nucleotides long. RefSeq lists it as uncharacterized. The transcript has 3 exons. The record is from RefSeq and is a predicted model, not a curated record. NCBI's taxonomy places the organism in Eukaryota, Metazoa, Mollusca, Gastropoda, Lepetellida, Haliotidae.